This 446-nucleotide ribosomal RNA is filed under the name uncultured bacterium. RNAcentral describes it as "partial 16S ribosomal RNA". It matches the Rfam family "Bacterial small subunit ribosomal RNA", at positions 338 to 795 of the family's 1533-position model. The record is from RNAcentral.
CCUACGGGAGGCAGCAGUCGAGAAUCAUUCACAAUGGGGGAAACCCUGAUGGUGCGACGCCGCGUGGGGGAAUGAAGGUCUUCGGAUUGUAAACCCCUGUCAUGUGGGAGCAAAUUAAAAAGAUAGUACCACAAGAGGAAGAGACGGCUAACUCUGUGCCAGCAGCCGCGGUAAUACAGAGGUCUCAAGCGUUGUUCGGAAUCACUGGGCGUAAAGCGUGCGUAGGCUGUUUCGUAAGUCGUGUGUGAAAGGCGCGGGCUCAACCCGCGGACGGCAGAUGAUACUGCGAGACUAGAGUAAGGGAGGGGGAACCGGAAUUCUCGGUGUAGCAGUGAAAUGCGUAGAUAUCGAGAGGAACACUCGUGGCGAAGGCGGGUUCCUGGACAUUAACUGACGCUGAGGCACGAAGGCCAGGGGAGCGAAAGGGAUUAGAUACCCCUGUAGUC